CGCGUAGGCGGUUUUUUAAGUCAGAUGUGAAAUCCCGAGGCUUAACCCCGGAAGUGCAUUUGAAACUGAAAGACUUGAGUAUGGGAGAGGGAAGUGGAAUUCCUGGUGUAGAGGUGAAAUUCGUAGAUAUCAGGAGGAACACCGGUGGCGAAGGCGACUUCCUGGACCAAUACUGACGCUGAGGCGCGAAGGCGUGGGGAGCAAACAGGAUUAGAUACCCUGGUAGUCC
This 229-nucleotide ribosomal RNA is filed under the name uncultured bacterium. RNAcentral's name for it is "partial 16S ribosomal RNA". It matches the Rfam family "Bacterial small subunit ribosomal RNA", at positions 568 to 796 of the family's 1533-position model. The record is from RNAcentral.